This 440-nucleotide ribosomal RNA is filed under the name uncultured bacterium. RNAcentral describes it as "bacterial SSU rRNA". It matches the Rfam family "Bacterial small subunit ribosomal RNA", at positions 958 to 1398 of the family's 1533-position model. The record is from RNAcentral.
AACGCGAAGAACCUUACCUGGGCUUGAACCGCUGGUGACCAACGGUAGAAAUAUCGUCUUCUCGCAAGAGACACCAGUAGAGGUGCUGCAUGGCUGUCGUCAGCUCGUGCCGUGAGGUGUUGGGUUAAGUCCCGCAACGAGCGCAACCCUUAUUCUUAGUUGCCACCCGCAAGGGGGAACUCUAAGAGGACUGCUCCGGAUAACGGAGAGGAAGGUGGGGAUGACGUCAAGUCAGCAUGGCCUUUAUGUCCAGGGCUACACACGUGUUACAAUGCAUGGUACAAACUGUUGCGAACCCGCGAGGGGGAGCUAAUCGGAAAAAGCCAUGCUCAGUUCGGAUUGCAGUCUGCAACUCGACUGCAUGAAGCCGGAAUCGCUAGUAAUGGCGUAUCAGAACGACGCCGUGAAUACGUUCCCGGGCCUUGUACACACCGGUACUA